GAGCCCGGAGAUGGGCACUGAGACAAGGGCCCAGGCCCUAUGGGGCGCAGCAGGCGCGAAACCUCUGCAAUAGGCGAAAGCCUGACAGGGUUACUCUGAGUGACUUUCGCUAAGAAAGUCUUUUGGCACCUCUAAAAAGGGUGCAGAAUAAGGGGUGGGCAAGUCUGGUGUCAGCCGCCGCGGUAAUACCAGCACCCCGAGUGGUCGGGACGAUUAUUGGGCCUAAAGCAUCCGUAGCCGGUUCUGCAAGUCCCCCGUUAAAUCCAGCUGCUCAACAGAUGGGCCGCGGAGGAUACUACAGAGCUAGGAGGCAGGAGAGGCAAGCGGUACUCAGUGGGUAGGGGUAAAAUCCGUUGAUCCAUUGAAGACCACCAGUGGCGAAGGCGGCUUGCCAGAAUGCGCUCGACGGUGAGGGAUGAAAGCUGGGGGAGCAAACCGGAUUAGAUACCCGGGUAGUCCCAGCCGUAAACGAUGCAGACUCGGUGAUGGGUUGGCUUCGCGCUAACCCAGUGCCGCAGGGAAGCCGUUAAGUCUGCCGCCUGGGUAGUACGGUCGCAAGACUGAAACUUAAAGGAAUUGGCGGGGGAGCACCACAAGGGGUGAAGCCUGCGGUUCAAUUGGAGUCAACGCCGA
RNAcentral lists this ribosomal RNA (633 nucleotides) under uncultured crenarchaeote. RNAcentral describes it as "bacterial SSU rRNA". It matches the Rfam family "Archaeal small subunit ribosomal RNA", at positions 286 to 921 of the family's 1478-position model. Lineage: Archaea; Thermoproteati; Thermoproteota. The record is from RNAcentral.